Molecule: ribosomal RNA, 239 nt
Filed under: uncultured bacterium
Lineage: Bacteria
Description: partial 16S ribosomal RNA
Rfam family: Bacterial small subunit ribosomal RNA
Source: RNAcentral
UACGUAGGAGGCGAGCGUUGUCCGGAGUUACUGGGCGUAAAGGGUGCGCAGGCGGUGGCCCGCGUGGGCGGUGAAAGCUCCUGGCUCAACUGGGAGAGGGCCGUCCAGACGGGGGUCACUUGAGGGGCGGAGAGGGGGCGUGGAAUUCCGGGGUGUAGCGGUGGAAUGGCGUAGAGAUCCGGAAGGAACACCGGGUGGGCGAAGGCGGCCUGCGUGGGGCAGUUGCUGACACUGAGGCG